CAUGACUGGGGUGAAGUCGUAACAAGGUAGCCCUAGGGGAACCUGGGGCUGGAUCACCUCCUUAACGAUAGAU
Molecule: ribosomal RNA, 73 nt
Filed under: Aliivibrio sp. SR45-2
Lineage: Bacteria; Pseudomonadati; Pseudomonadota; Gammaproteobacteria; Vibrionales; Vibrionaceae
Description: partial 16S ribosomal RNA
Rfam family: Bacterial small subunit ribosomal RNA (bases 1-64)
Source: RNAcentral